RNAcentral lists this long non-coding RNA (199 nucleotides) under Elaeis guineensis (African oil palm). RNAcentral's name for it is "long non-coding RNA (EGUI_LNC018828)". The record is from RNAcentral. Lineage: Eukaryota; Viridiplantae; Streptophyta; Magnoliopsida; Arecales; Arecaceae.
GAUUCCACUCCUCUCUCUAUUUCUGUAUACAUAGCCUCUGUAAAUAUGCACUUAUCAAUAAAAAUCGGGUGGCAUUUUGCCUCCCUUUUCAUCAGGAAAAAAAAAAGUUUGCAACAACAGUCACCCAGGAAAUUAUGAGGGUCAAGCUGAAAACAGUGAUUUUCAGGGAUCUUUUUGUAAAUGAUAGCUUUCACUGGUC